RNAcentral lists this transfer RNA (85 nucleotides) under Schizophyllum amplum. Its description in RNAcentral is "Auriculariopsis ampla tRNA". It matches the Rfam family "tRNA". Rfam says of the family: Transfer RNA (tRNA) molecules are approximately 80 nucleotides in length. Their secondary structure includes four short double-helical elements and three loops (D, anti-codon, and T loops). Lineage: Eukaryota; Fungi; Basidiomycota; Agaricomycetes; Agaricales; Schizophyllaceae. The record is from Rfam by way of RNAcentral.
GCCCGAGUUGUCUAAUGGUUAUGACGUCGCUUUCCGGUGCCGCAUCUGCAGGCGGAGGUUGCGGGUUCGAAUCCCGUCUCGGGUU